UGCCUGUUUGAGUGUCUUAUAAACCUCACCUCUACUGUUUUUCAUUAAACAUGUGGCUGGUGCUUUGGGUGUUGCCGUUUACUCUGGCUCGCCUUAAAUGUCUAAGUGGAAUGCGUAAUAAGUUCUUUCGCAACCCUCCACUCUAAUAACACACUUUAUACUCUGACCUCAAAUCAGGUAGGACUACCCGCUGAACUUAA
RNAcentral lists this unclassified non-coding RNA (200 nucleotides) under soil metagenome. Its description in RNAcentral is "partial contains internal transcribed spacer 2 and large subunit ribosomal RNA". The record is from RNAcentral.